RNAcentral lists this ribosomal RNA (477 nucleotides) under Candidatus Scalindua brodae. RNAcentral's name for it is "bacterial SSU rRNA". It matches the Rfam family "Bacterial small subunit ribosomal RNA", at positions 365 to 832 of the family's 1533-position model. Lineage: Bacteria; Pseudomonadati; Planctomycetota; Candidatus Brocadiia; Candidatus Brocadiales; Candidatus Scalinduaceae. RNAcentral also lists the same sequence under 1 other name. The record is from RNAcentral.
UUCGCAAUGCCCGAAAGGGUGACGAAGCGACGCCGCGUGGGUGAGGAAGGCCUUCGGGUUGUAAAGCCCUGUCAGGAGUUAAGGAAUGUAAGUGUGCUAAUAUCGCAUUUACUUGACGAAGGCUCCAAAGGAAGUCACGGCUAACUCUGUGCCAGCAGCCGCGGUAAUACAGAGGUGGCAAGCGUUGUUCGGAAUUAUUGGGCGUAAAGAGCACGUAGGUGGGUUUGUAAGUCAGAUGUGAAAGCCUCCUGUUCAACGGGAGAAUUGCAUCUGAAACUACUGAUCUUGAGUAUAGGAGGGGAGAAUGGAACUUCUGGUGGAGCGGUGAAAUGCGUAGAUAUCAGAAGGAACGCCGGCGGCGAAAGCGAUUCUCUGGCCUAUUACUGACACUCAGUGUGCGAAAGCUAGGGGAGCAAACGGGAUUAGAUACCCCGGUAGUCCUAGCCGUAAACGAUGGGCACUAAGUAGAGGGGUUUU